CGGGACGUGGCGCAGUCUGGUAGCGCACUUGCAUGGGGUGCAAGGGGUCGGAGGUUCGAAUCCUCUCGUCCCGA
Molecule: transfer RNA, 74 nt
Filed under: Steroidobacter denitrificans
Lineage: Bacteria; Pseudomonadati; Pseudomonadota; Gammaproteobacteria; Steroidobacterales; Steroidobacteraceae
Rfam family: tRNA
About the family: Transfer RNA (tRNA) molecules are approximately 80 nucleotides in length.
Source: Rfam by way of RNAcentral